GUGCUUGCUUCGGCAGCACAUAUACUAAAAUUGGAAUGGUACAGAGAAGAUUAGCAUGGCCCCUGUGCAAGGAUGACAUGCAAAUUCGUGAAGCAUUCCAUAUUUUU
Molecule: small nuclear RNA, 107 nt
Organism: Delphinapterus leucas (beluga whale)
Lineage: Eukaryota; Metazoa; Chordata; Mammalia; Artiodactyla; Monodontidae
Source: Ensembl